GACGAACGCUGGCGGCGUGCUUAACACAUGCAAGUCGAACGAAGAGCGAUGGAAGCUUGCUUCUAUCAAUCUUAGUGGCGAACGGGUGAGUAACGCGUAAUCAACCUGCCCUUCAGAGGGGGACAACAGUUGGAAACGACUGCUAAUACCGCAUACGAUCCAAUCUCGGCAUCGAGGAUAGAUGAAAGGUGGCCUCUACAUGUAAGCUAUCACUGAAGGAGGGGAUUGCGUCUGAUUAGCUAGUUGGAGGGGUAACGGCCCACCAAGGCGAUGAUCAGUAGCCGGUCUGAGAGGAUGAACGGCCACAUUGGGACUGAGACACGGCCCAGACUCCUACGGGAGGCAGCAGUGGGGAAUCUUCCGCAAUGGACGAAAGUCUGACGGAGCAACGCCGCGUGAGUGAUGACGGCCUUCGGGUUGUAAAGCUCUGUUAAUCGGGACGAAAGGCCUUCUUGCGAAUAGUGAGAAGGAUUGACGGUACCGGAAUAGAAAGCCACGGCUAACUACGUG
RNAcentral lists this ribosomal RNA (510 nucleotides) under uncultured bacterium. Its description in RNAcentral is "partial 16S ribosomal RNA". It matches the Rfam family "Bacterial small subunit ribosomal RNA", at positions 28 to 507 of the family's 1533-position model. The record is from RNAcentral.